UACGGGGGGAGCAAGCGUUGUUCGGAUUUACUGGGCGUAAAGGGCGCGUAGGCGGCCACCGCAAGUCGAUUGUGAAAUCUCCGGGCUUAACUCGGAACGGUCAAGUGAUACUGUCGGACUAGAGUACAGAAGGGGGCAACUGGAAUUCUCGGUGUAGCGGUGAAAUGCGUAGAUAUCUGGAGGAACACCGGUGGCGAAGGCGGCAUCCUGGACCAACACUGACGCUGAGGAGCGAAAGCCAGGGGAGCAAACGGG
This 255-nucleotide ribosomal RNA is filed under the name uncultured bacterium. Its description in RNAcentral is "partial 16S ribosomal RNA". It matches the Rfam family "Bacterial small subunit ribosomal RNA", at positions 524 to 776 of the family's 1533-position model. The record is from RNAcentral.